Long non-coding RNA from Phyllostomus discolor (pale spear-nosed bat), 1419 nucleotides. RefSeq lists it as uncharacterized. The transcript is spliced from 2 exons. Lineage: Eukaryota; Metazoa; Chordata; Mammalia; Chiroptera; Phyllostomidae. The record is from RefSeq and is a predicted model, not a curated record.
UGGAGAUUCCCAGGUGAAGCCAAGCUAUUACUCUAAUGUGGCUGCCUCUAGGGCUCACUGAAGCCAGCUGUUGCUUGUUUGAUAGGAGUCAGGAGCCAAGACCAGCUAUUCUUAAGGAAAAGAAGCUUGGCUGGGCCCAUAAAGGAGGUGGGAUAGAGCCCCUGUGAUCUCCAAGGUGGGUCACACAGUGUUAGCCUGGUUGAUGGAGUCUCAGAUAUGGCACCAACCUACUGGCUCUAUAGGGGGAGGGCUUAUCAGAGGGACAGUCACCUCUGCUUACCACAGUGCCAGAUACUCUCUCCCUGUAUGCCACUGGUACCCUUCAGGCUGCCACCCCGGUACUGGGGCUCAGAGGGAGUGAGUCCGAGUAGGUGAGUCCAUGUUUGGGUUCCCCAAGAGAAACUGCUUAUGGCUUCAUCAGCCUCCUCCACUGGCUCAAUCCCCACUGGAUUUUCGCAGCCAGAGGUUGUGGGGACUUAUCUUCCUGGCACUGGAAUCCUGGGCUUUGGGGCCUGAUGUGAGGCUGGCACUCCUCACUCCUGAGAUAUCCCUCCUGAAUUUUAUCUCCAUGAAUGUGGGGCCAGCCUGUUCUGUGUCCAUGCCCCUCCUACCAGUCUGGAUGGAUGUGGUUGCAUCAGUUCCGUAGUUGCCAGACUUCCAUUUAACUCGAUUUUGUCAUUCUUAGACUUCUGUUCAACUAGAUUUCUGACAUUCCUAAGUGAUUGUUGUUCUAUAUUUUACGUGUAAUUUGAUGUGGUUGUGCAAAAAGGUUAGUCAUGUCUACCUAUGUUGCCAUCUUGAGUGGAAGCCCUCUUAUCUUUUAACAUCAUCUAAAUUCAGCCUCUCAAGUUCUGUUUAUGACACCGUCCAAAAAUGUGUGUGGGAGAUGCCAACAGGGAAGCCUUUUCUUAUGUGUGUGUGAUCUUCAUGGGCACAUUGGCUGGCAACUCCAGGCCUAUACUCUUCUCUGGAUGGCCCUGACAUACUGGUAUCCUAAGAUUAUGCCAGUUGAAGACUAGGUCUCCUAAAAGUCUCCUCUGUGUUAGAACAUGGCUUGCAUGUGUCCAGGGCCCUCUUCCAUUUGUUCAUCUUUUUAUGCCCAGGUUCAAGAUGCGAUCAAGUACAACAGACUUACUUAUUGAACGAAUAAAUGACUCCCAGUGAGCCCCAGAGGAGUGAGUGGAGUUUGACAGCAAAUUAUGAGGAUAUUUCUAAAAGCAUGUUGUAAUAGACAAGAAAAGAUGUCAGGUUGGGGCAAUCCAAAGAAAGAGGACCUGUCCCAGCCUCCCAGGGAGGGUCAUGACCCCUGGACUCCAGGAAUAGUAAAAUUGGCAAAACCGAAAUUUGUUCUUUUCUGCAUUGUAAUUUCCCUACACCCUCCCCCCCCCCCAAAAAAAGUCUGUAUUAAAAUCUAGAACC